Molecule: ribosomal RNA, 497 nt
Filed under: uncultured bacterium
Lineage: Bacteria
Description: partial 16S ribosomal RNA
Rfam family: Bacterial small subunit ribosomal RNA
Source: RNAcentral
GAUGAACGCUGGCUGCGUGCCUAAUACAUGCAAGUCGAGCGAACAGAUAAGGAGCUUGCUCCUUUGACGUUAGCGGCGGACGGGUGAGUAACACGUGGAUAACCUACCUAUAAGACUGGGAUAACUUCGGGAAACCGGAGCUAAUACCGGAUAACAUAUUGAACCGCAUGGUUCAAUAGUGAAAGGCGGCUUUGCUGUCACUUAUAGAUGGAUCCGCGCCGUAUUAGCUAGUUGGUAAGGUAACGGCUUACCAAGGCAACGAUACGUAGCCGACCUGAGAGGGUGAUCGGCCACACUGGAACUGAGACACGGUCCAGACUCCUACGGGAGGCAGCAGUAGGGAAUCUUCCGCAAUGGGCGAAAGCCUGACGGAGCAACGCCGCGUGAGUGAUGAAGGUCUUCGGAUCGUAAAACUCUGUUAUCAGGGAAGAACAAAUGUGUAAGUAACUGUGCACAUCUUGACGGUACCUGAUCAGAAAGCCACGGCUAACUACGUG